GGCUCUGAUCCUGCCCCAAUGGAUCUGGGCUCAGGUUCUGAUCCUGCCCCGAUGGAUCCAUGCCCAAGUUCUGAUCCUGCCCUGAUGGAUCCGUGCCCAGGUUCUGAUCCUGCCCUGAUGGAUCUGGGAUUGGGUUCUGAUCCUGCCCCAAUGGAACCAGGACCAGACUCAGGUUCUGAUCCUGCCCUGAUGGAUCUGGGCUCAGGCUCUGAUCCUGCCCCGAUGGAACCAGGACCAGACUCAGGCUCUGACCCCUCCCCAGGACCCAGGAAAAGCUCGGGGGCCGCUCCCAGCCCAGCUCGUUCUGCCCCGGGAGGUGCCCGGCGCUGCCCGGAUCCCUCCCCGUGCCCAGGGCGUGCCCCUCCCGCCAGCUCGGGCACCGAGAUCUCCCGAUAGGGGCUGAUCUCUCUCGGCAUCUCCCCGCGGUUGGGA
Long non-coding RNA from Serinus canaria (Common canary), 432 nucleotides. RefSeq lists it as uncharacterized. Lineage: Eukaryota; Metazoa; Chordata; Aves; Passeriformes; Fringillidae. The record is from RefSeq and is a predicted model, not a curated record. The transcript has 3 exons.